Molecule: long non-coding RNA, 373 nt
Organism: Ictidomys tridecemlineatus (thirteen-lined ground squirrel)
Lineage: Eukaryota; Metazoa; Chordata; Mammalia; Rodentia; Sciuridae
Source: RefSeq, a predicted model, not a curated record
AUAGCUCAAUUGGUAGAGUGCUUGCCUAGCAUGCACUGGGUUCAAUUCCCAGUGCCACAAAAAAAAGAAAAACAAAAAUCCCUUUCCUCUGACUUGUUUAGAGAAAAACCUAGAUCUCAACAUGACCAUUACCUAGAUAGAGAUCAGCAGAGAGAGAGUAAAGGACCCUUUGGGCAAAAGAGUUUAUGUGAGUCCAGGAUAUGACCACUUCAGAUAUCUCAUAACUUAGUGUUGAACCCAUGAUGCAAAGAAAAGACCACCAACUCUAAUUUUAAACCAAAUUAAAGUAAGCUUAUAUUGCGUACACAAGAGAUCUGGCCAGCAAAUACCUCACUGGAAAACCUGGGUAAAGGACAGCAACAGCUCUCAGGAA